CCAAUAGCGUAUAUUAAAGUUGUUGCAGUUAAAAAGCUCGUAGUUGAAUUUCGGGAUCAAAGAAUCGGUCAUGCCUUGGUACGUACUGGUUUUAUUGGUUCUCACCUUCUAAAGAACCAUAAUGUCAUUUAUUUGAUGUUAUGGGGAAUUAGGACUGUUACCUUGAAAAAAUUAGAGUGUUUAAAGCAAGCUUACGCUUGAAUACAUUAGCAUGGAAUAAUGAAAUAGGACGUUCGAUCCUAUUUUGUUGGUUUCUAGGAUUGACGUAAUGAUUAAUAGG
RNAcentral lists this ribosomal RNA (280 nucleotides) under uncultured Glomus. Its description in RNAcentral is "partial 18S small subunit ribosomal RNA". It matches the Rfam family "Eukaryotic small subunit ribosomal RNA", at positions 591 to 876 of the family's 1831-position model. The record is from RNAcentral. Lineage: Eukaryota; Fungi; Glomeromycota; Glomeromycetes; Glomerales; Glomeraceae.